UACGUAGGGGGCAAGCGUUGUCCGGAUUUAUUGGGCGUAAAGAGCGUGUAGGCGGCUUGGUAGGUCCGCUGUGAAAACUCGAGGCUCAACCUCGAGAUGUCGGCGGAAACCACUUGGCUAGAGUCCGGAAGAGGAGAGUGGAAUUCCCGGUGUAGCGGUGAAAUGCGUAGAUAUCUGGAGGAACACCGGUGGCGAAGGCGGCAUCCUGGACCGGCAUUGACGCUGAGGAGCGAAAGCCAGGGGAGCAAACGGG
RNAcentral lists this ribosomal RNA (253 nucleotides) under uncultured bacterium. Its description in RNAcentral is "partial 16S ribosomal RNA". It matches the Rfam family "Bacterial small subunit ribosomal RNA", at positions 524 to 776 of the family's 1533-position model. The record is from RNAcentral.